This 336-nucleotide long non-coding RNA is filed under the name Citrus maxima (pomelo). Its description in RNAcentral is "long non-coding RNA (CMAX_LNC002696)". Lineage: Eukaryota; Viridiplantae; Streptophyta; Magnoliopsida; Sapindales; Rutaceae. The record is from RNAcentral.
GCGAAAACAAACACAACAAGCUGCUAUUUAAUGCCGUGGAGGAAUUGUCUUUGUAAAAUGGCUCAAUAACAAGAUAAAAAAUGGGUUGAGCCAUGUUCCUAGAACUCUUCUUAAAGUUAAUCGGAGCACUUAUGGCUAUGCCUUCCUUGAUAAUUCCAUAAUCUGCAAGAUUUAUAACAGCUGAUCCCAAGAGUUGACCUUUAACGUGCUUCUCCUUUCCAGUUUCAUACAAGUAUAUCUCCAAGUAAUUCUUCUGAAAACUAUCAUUAGCAAUGCCUUUUUUUUAUGCUUCCCCAUAUAAAGUAACCGAAAUUCUGAACUGAACCGCGCUUUUAG